RNAcentral lists this long non-coding RNA (1092 nucleotides) under Cricetulus griseus (Chinese hamster). Its description in RNAcentral is "lncRNA (ENSCGRG00015030418.1)". The record is from RNAcentral. Lineage: Eukaryota; Metazoa; Chordata; Mammalia; Rodentia; Cricetidae.
GUCCUGCGGGACCGAGAGCUCUGGAGAAACGCCGGCCGCUUGGCCGGCUGGAGAAGCGGGCGGUACCGGGCUUGACCUGCCUCCGGGGCUCGCCCUGCCGCGCGACGCGUCUGCCCAGGGCGGAGGGUUUUCCUAUUGGCUGCGUGAUUUGAAUGGAGUGGACACAGGUCGAGCCUUAGGUGCUUGGCGGUGCUCUUUCCAAGGAACUCGGGUGAACCCGGGCUGCGCAGUCUUGAUCGAGAGCGUUUGAAAAAAGUGGGGUGUGAGCCUUCCCCACGGCCCUGGUGGCUGUGACCGAGGUGAUCGCCUACUGACAGGGCCUGUGUGUGUGGCACUGCCCAGGAGGUUAGCUCAGCCUUGUUAACUGGUCCUGACCUUUUAAGGGAUUUAUGGUUCCAGCUCCAUUGCUUUCUAUGGAGUAAAGACCCGGGCUGCGUCUAGAAUUCAAAAGGCAUGUGGAUAAAGGCCGUUAAUUCGACCAAUACUUAUCGAAUACCUGUCUAGUAAGUCGUGACUUCCCAGGCACUAAAAAUACAAUAAAUAUAAUUUCUUUGAACCCAUUUUGUAAAUUCACGUGCUGUAAAAGACAUUAUCAUAAAGGGGUUUUAACUUUGCCUUUUCUAAACACUGUCUCCCACCCACCCACACACUUCAAGUCUAUAAUAAGUCAGAAAACCCUACCAUUGAAUGUUUUGGGCUCCUCUAGAGUCUACAGUCUUGAGACUGAGAUUUCCUCCCAGAAAAGAAAACAGUUUCAAUUCUGAGUCAGGCUUACAGGGGCUGCCCAUCUCUGUGCCCUACCCCCCUUCUGGUGAUACUACAGUGAAAACUUAUUUUCUUACUCUCAUCAUAUUGCUUUUCGUAGACUACAUUAGAAUAAUUGAGUAAAAUCUGCUUAGGGAAUUACCUUCUUAUAGAACUGAAUAUUCUGAACCUCAAUUUUAGGAAUUUUAAUAGAAUCUUACAUAGGAUAAAAAUACUUCCUUUGAAACACAAAAUGAGUGUGCCACACAUGAAAUACACUAUUGUAUCUUCAUAAAAUGUGCCAAGGAUCUAGCAUCGGCCGUUCACAUACCAAUGAUAAUAAUGGUG